This is a long non-coding RNA of Megalopta genalis, 535 nucleotides long. RefSeq lists it as uncharacterized. NCBI's taxonomy places the organism in Eukaryota, Metazoa, Arthropoda, Insecta, Hymenoptera, Halictidae. The record is from RefSeq and is a predicted model, not a curated record.
UUGUAAUAGUGUGUGAAUUUAUUUCGUUCGAAAAUUGUUAAAAUUGUUAUUCCUCCGAUCGGAGGUCCCUCAGGUGCUCGCUCACGGGUGGGGCCGUGAGGGCCGUUUGUUAACUAGCAAACGCGAUCGUGUUCGACGAAACGCUAACUUCCAAAUCCAUUCAGAAGAGACAAAUGUCGCGAUAAUUCGUUUCGAGACGCUACGAUGCAAAAAAUCGCGAUGUGCCCAUCUGAGUUGUUGUUGGGACCCGAGGCCGAUGGUUGCAGCUGCGGCAUGGGCGUCUGAAAUGUCGAAGGGCAAGCUACUGCAACGCGAUUUUGUGUGGACGCGACGUUAAUGCAAUGAACAGAAAUAUAUGAUAUCUGUUGUGCAAUCUCUUCUGAAUUUGGUGCUGCAUACUUCGCCUCGAUGAUUCGUCGAGCUGGAAAUCCUUGAGCUCACGGUGCAACAUUAUGCAUUGUAUCUUUAGAUCAGACAACACUGUAAAAUAGAAACGAAAUUUCUGUGCUGCAGUUCUGUAGCUGUAAUUCAGUAA